CCUAGAUUGUCCUAGAUUCUCUUUCUGGCUUUGCCGAUGAUUCACUGUGUAUAUUGUGGUGAAUUAUUUUGUUUCAGCUCUGUGUUUUUAUCUUUGGAAAAUUGGGGACCUUGGUGCUUAUAGCAUCUACCUACCUCCUCUGGGUGUGACAAGGGCACUUUGAAAAGGGGAUGGGAGAUACACACAAGAAGGAUGCCAUACAGAUGUUAUACUAAGCUGCAUUUAGUCCCAUAAAUUAAAAUAUACUACUCUGAUAAGAAUGAAAACAUUUACAAACUGUGACAUCCUGAUUUCCUAUUCUCUAGAGAUUCUAGAGAAAUACUGAAUGUGUCUGCGUUGAGCUUUAGUCGGUACAAGAUAUGGAUUGGGAAGCAGGAGUCAGGACAAUUAAGACUAGAAUCUACAAUUUUAACAAUUUAAAAAUUGUUUUUUUAACGUUUGGAGCCCACCCUUCUGAAAUCACCAUCUCCUAAAAGAUCCACUACAGCUUGUCCUGCUUCACAAAGCAAACCUUGGGAGAAAACAUAUGGGUGCUUAGUUGGAAGAGAGAGGCUUCUUAACAUUACCUUCAACCCAGCCCCAAGAAAACUCCUUUUAACCUUCAACUUGGAUUCCAGUGAAUGAAGUUGUUUGAAUGAGAUGAAGAAUGAAGGUUCAGGGAAGUUGAUUGCUUUGCUUGAGGUGGGUCUGUCUCUAGAGCCUAUACUCCUAGUGGACAUCUCCUCCUGACCAAAUAGUGAUAAGAACCUAUCUUUUCUGUCAAGACAGCUUCUGCUCUUUCAUGAGGGCUCUCCCAAGACUAUUAGGACAUGGAUAAUCAUGGUUUCUGAUUCUACUUCACCCCCAGCAUGAGAGAAGAUGGUCCUUGAAUGGACCUGCUCUCCUAGAUCACACUCAAAGGCCAAAUCCUCCAACUAAACAACAGAUAUUUCAGAUUAGCAAAAAUGGAAAUCAGAAUGUUUGUGCUUUGCUUGUAUUUUUUGAUACACCGUGGUCUAGGAGUCAAGGUGCCUGAGUCAAAUGACUUCUCACUGAUUCAUUGUUGAAAAACUCUGUGGUUCAGACCACCCAAAGGUCCUGCCCCUUCUGCCUUCCCUCACCCACAGGUUGUGUAUGUUCUUUUUGUAAUUCCAUGUCCUUUUGCUGCAUGAUAUCCACUUCAGAUUAUUUUUCCCACAAGAACUUGUGACUUGGAAAUCCACAAGAUGCAUAAUUAGCUUUAUCUAUGUUAUGGGCUUAAUUGUGUCCUCCUCCCCCACUCAUUCGUUUGUUGAAGUCUAAUCCUCUGUACCUCAGAAUGCGACUGUAUUUGAACACAGGGUUUUUAAAGAAUUAAUUAAAUUAAUAUGAGAUUAGUAAAGUUGGCCCUAUUCCAAUAUGCUUCCUGUCCUUAUGAGAGGAGAUUAGAACACAGACACACGCAGAGGGAAGACCAUAAGACACGGAGAAGACGGCUAUCUACAAGCCAAGGAGAUAGACCUCAGAAGAAAGCGACCCUGCUGAUACCUUGACAUUGGACUUCUAGCCUCUAGAACUGAGAAAAUAAAUUUCUGCUGUUUAAUCUAGCCAGUUUGUGGUACUUUGUUAUGAUAGCCCUAGCAAACUGAUACAGUCUGUAAGGGAAUUAGAUCCUGUUCUGUGUUUUCCUAGAUUCUGCAUUUGUCUGUUUGAUAUCCAUUAAUCACAGGGCCAAUUAUAUUAACUAUUUUUUCUUAUUUUCUGUAUUCUUGAUGCUCUGGCAUUUGGGGGUCUUAAAGACAGAGGCACUGCCCUUCCCAGGGCUAGCCCUUUCUUAGAGAUAGCAAAAGGCUUGGCUGGGAGCACAUCUCUCAUAUGCAAACCAAUCAAUCCCAAGUCUACAGCCCCAACCACCUCCUUAUCUAACUCUCACACACCAAGGCAAUUUCUCCCCUGCCCUGAAUCCUCCCAGGACCAGGUACUAGGCAACUGGAGACCACCUCAAUAGCCCAAAGCCUGCUGGAAUUACUCAAACUAGCCAAUUCUAAGCUGUUUACUCUGUCCUGCCUUCCCUUUCCUACAGAAACCCCACUCAAGUCUGGCCAAGUCCUUCUCCUUGCUCUUUUCUGCCUCUCGACCAACAUUGGUGCUUCCCUAGUGGCCCCACGUUGCAUGCAGUGACCUCCUCUCUGGGACCUGUGAGUAUAAUACUUUUCUUCCUUUCAAGCUUUGUUCUCUUCUCCUGUGCCUACACAAAAGCCAAGUGCAUGAUCAGGGCAAGACGUAUGCUCAGAAAAGAACUGAGAAUGGGCUGGCCCAGUGGCGUAGUGGUUAAGUUUGAGCACUCCACUUCGGUGGCCCAGAGUUUGCAAGUUCAGAUCCUGGGCGCAGACCUAGCACCACUUGCCAGGCCACACUUUGGCAGCAUCCCACAUACUAAAUAGAGGAAGAUUGGCACAGAUGUUAUCUCAGUGGCAAUCUUCCUCAAGCAAAAAGAGGAAUAUUGGCAACAGAUGGUAGCUCAGGGCCAAUCUUCCUCACAUACACACACAAAAGAAAAGAACUGAGAAGACCCUAAGCUUUCACCUUGGUCUGAUCCCUAGGCUCAGUGAAAGCCUAGCUAAGCAUUGAAGGUGGGCCCCUGAACAUAGUCAAUUUUCAAAAAUUGGGAGAGUUCUGGGCAUUUGAGGAAAUCUCUUUCAAAACAGUAGCUGAACAAAAGCUAAGGAGCAGAGACUUCUGUGACUACUUUGACAAGGAAUAUGGUCUUUGCAAUAAUAGUUUGGGAAAAUCAAUUAAAAAAAUGGACUUCUAUACCUUUCAACAACCAAUAAAAGAGCAAACCUCAG
This 2807-nucleotide long non-coding RNA is filed under the name Equus caballus (horse). RNAcentral's name for it is "lncRNA (ENSECAG00000045951.1)". Lineage: Eukaryota; Metazoa; Chordata; Mammalia; Perissodactyla; Equidae. The record is from RNAcentral.